This 873-nucleotide long non-coding RNA is filed under the name Sinocyclocheilus anshuiensis. Its description in RNAcentral is "lncRNA (ENSSANG00000043972.1)". The record is from RNAcentral. Lineage: Eukaryota; Metazoa; Chordata; Actinopteri; Cypriniformes; Cyprinidae.
AAUACAAUGUUAAUACAUGUCUUUACAUUGGUGUGUUUUGUGUUCUGCUACAUAGACCUGGGAGUGUUAUAGCAGACUACACUAUAAGUGCAACAUCCAACAGCCUUGAUUUUGGAGCAGCAAACACACAGGUUUCUGACUCUCUGAGAACACAAGGAAUAAUUUUAGCUGAAGAUGCCUUUGCUCAAAGUGAUCAAACCGUCUUCACAACAGAUCAGUUAUAUCCUCUGCAAAAGGUGGACCUAAACUGUAUACAGCCAGACUUUGCAAAGGGACAAAUAAAAUGGACAGUGGAUAACAAAGAUCCUGCACUAGACAACACAAGAUAUUUACUUUCAAAUGACAACAGAACUCUCACUGUAAAAAACGCUAAUGAAAGUGACAGUGGUGAGUGACGAGAUUUAUUUUUGUAUUGUCUAUGAUAUUUUACUAGUGCCUGAUAGCUCCUGUCCUGUUUUUCAAAGCAGACUGCAGUAAAACUGUUCCAUAAUAUCAUUUAAAUGAUUGAGCAUAUUAGCAUACUGACAUAUAGCAUAUGAUUGUACUAGAUUAUAUCAUAUACGGUAUAGAGUAGAUGAUACAGCCAUAUCAACAUUAAAGGUGCAAUGUGUAAUAUUUAGGAUAAUUUUUUUUAUUACCUUAGAAUGAGCCAUUUCUAUCUACAUAUCGGUUUACUGAAAAACUAAGUAAAUAUAAUUUCUUAAUUUACCACUGGCUAUCUCUGCUGUCUCAGACGACGACAUCUUUGUCCUGUGUCGGCCACCGUAUCUCUACGUGCAAUUCGCAACCUAGCCGCUAGAUGCUGCUAAAAUUUAGGCCAUAUCCACACGUACACGGGUAUUUCUAUAAAUGGAGUUUUUGCUUCUUCCGUUU